CAGCCGUAAACUAUGCGCGUUAGGUGUACUGGUGACCACGAGUCACCGGGGUGCCGAAGGGAAACCGUGAAACGUGCCGCCUGGGAAGUACGGUCGCAAGGCUGAAACUUCAAGGAAUUGGCGGGGGAGCACCACAACGGGUGGAGCCUGCGGUUUAAUUGGACUCAACGCCGGAAAUCUCACCGGAUAGGACAGACAUAUGAUAGUCGGGCUGAAGACUCUACUUGAUGAUCUGAGAGGAGGUGCAUGGCGUCAGUGACU
RNAcentral lists this ribosomal RNA (261 nucleotides) under uncultured archaeon. Its description in RNAcentral is "partial 16S ribosomal RNA". It matches the Rfam family "Archaeal small subunit ribosomal RNA", at positions 748 to 1008 of the family's 1478-position model. The record is from RNAcentral.